AGCGAACGCUGGCGGCAGGCCUAACACAUGCAAGUCGAACGAACUCUUCGGAGUUAGUGGCGGACGGGUGAGUAACACGUGGGAACGUGCCUUUAGGUUCGGAAUAACUCAGGGAAACUUGUGCUAAUACCGAAUGUGCCCUUCGGGGGAAAGAUUUAUCGCCUUUAGAGCGGCCCGCGUCUGAUUAGCUAGUUGGUGAGGUAAAGGCUCACCAAGGCGACGAUCAGUAGCUGGUCUGAGAGGAUGAUCAGCCACAUUGGGACUGAGACACGGCCCAAACUCCUACGGGAGGCAGCAGUGGGGAAUCUUGCGCAAUGGGCGAAAGCCUAACGCAGCCAUGCCGCGUGAAUGAUGAAGGUCUUAGGAUUGUAAAAUUCUCUCACCGGGGACGAUAAUGACGGUACCCGGAGAAGAAGCCCCGGCUAACUUCGUG
RNAcentral lists this ribosomal RNA (433 nucleotides) under uncultured bacterium. RNAcentral's name for it is "partial 16S ribosomal RNA". It matches the Rfam family "Bacterial small subunit ribosomal RNA", at positions 29 to 507 of the family's 1533-position model. The record is from RNAcentral.